AGAUUGAACGCUGGCGGCAUGCUUUACACAUGCAAGUCGAACGGUAACAGGCCGCAAGGUGCUGACGAGUGGCGAACGGGUGAGUAAUGCAUCGGAACGUGCCCAGUCGUGGGGGGAUAACGCAGCGAAAGCUGUGCUAAUACCGCAUACGAUCUAUGAAUGAAAGCGGGGGACCGAAAGGCCUCGCGCGAUUGGAGCGGCCGAUGUCAGAUUAGCUAGUGGUGGGUAAAGGCCCACCAAGGCGACGAUCUGUAGCUGGUCUGAGAGGACGACCAGCCACACUGGAACUGAGACACGGUCCAGACUCCUACGGGAGGCAGCAGUGGGGAAUUUUGGACAAGUGGGCGCAAGCCUGAUCCAGCAAUGCCGCGUGCAGAGAAGGUCCGUUCGGUUGUAAACUGCGUUUUAGACGGUAACGAACGGUACGUUACGGUUAAGUUACCUACGGUCCUAAA
Molecule: ribosomal RNA, 455 nt
Filed under: uncultured soil bacterium
Lineage: Bacteria
Description: bacterial SSU rRNA
Rfam family: Bacterial small subunit ribosomal RNA
Source: RNAcentral